RNAcentral lists this transfer RNA (74 nucleotides) under archaeon. RNAcentral describes it as "tRNA-Arg". It matches the Rfam family "tRNA". Rfam says of the family: Transfer RNA (tRNA) molecules are approximately 80 nucleotides in length. Their secondary structure includes four short double-helical elements and three loops (D, anti-codon, and T loops). Further hydrogen bonds mediate the characteristic L-shaped molecular structure. tRNAs have two regions of fundamental functional importance: the anti-codon, which is responsible for specific mRNA codon recognition, and the 3' end, to which the tRNAs corresponding amino acid is attached (by aminoacyl-tRNA synthetases). tRNAs cope with the degeneracy of the genetic code in two manners: having more than one tRNA (with a specific anti-codon) for a particular amino acid; and 'wobble' base-pairing, i.e. permitting non-standard base-pairing at the 3rd anti-codon position. The record is from RNAcentral.
GCUCGGCUGGCUCAAUUGGAUAGAGCGCAAGACUUCUAAUCUUGAGGUUCUGGGUUCAAGUCCCAGGUCGAGUG